ACUAUAAUCUGCUCCAUGUGUAUCGUCUUCUCCAGCGGCGCAUGAGAAUAGGAAGGAAGCAAAGCAAUGGCGAUCCUUCUACGUCUCCUCCUCCUAACGAUGGAUCUAACGCUCGCCGGGAUCUCCCUCGCGUUUGCUUUCGUGAUCUUCGCCUUCGUCGCCGCUGUUCUCUGCUCCGCCGCCUUCAUCCACAACGCCAAGGCGCUCCCCCUUUAGCCCUGAUUCCGCGUGCCUCCUUUUCAUUCGGUUGAUAGAUCAAAGAGCAGAGUGGUUUGAUGGACUUAGAAUUCCGACACCAGAACAAUGAUAAAAUCCAAGCUCCUGUAUGGCUGUUUUUAGUUCUAUUGAAAAAAAACACAUGUAACAUGUGCAUUCCUCCACAUAUCUGUGUUUAGUCUCCAUUGGCACACAUGAUCAUUAAUAGUAUAAUGAAAAGUUGAGCUUCUAAUGUUU
Long non-coding RNA from Zingiber officinale, 453 nucleotides. RefSeq lists it as uncharacterized. The transcript has 2 exons. The record is from RefSeq and is a predicted model, not a curated record. Lineage: Eukaryota; Viridiplantae; Streptophyta; Magnoliopsida; Zingiberales; Zingiberaceae.